This 254-nucleotide ribosomal RNA is filed under the name uncultured bacterium. Its description in RNAcentral is "partial 16S ribosomal RNA". It matches the Rfam family "Bacterial small subunit ribosomal RNA", at positions 524 to 776 of the family's 1533-position model. The record is from RNAcentral.
UACGGGGGGGGCAAGCGUUGUUCGGAUUUACUGGGCGUAAAGGGCGCGUAGGCGGUCAGCACAAGUCAGUUGUGAAAUCUCCGGGCUUAACUCGGAAAGGUCAACUGAUACUGUGCGACUAGAGUGCAGAAGGGGCAACUGGAAUUCUCGGUGUAGCGGUGAAAUGCGUAGAUAUCGAGAGGAACACCCGUGGCUAAGGCGGCUCUCUAGUACGGUACUGACGCUGAGACGCGAAAGCGUGGGGAGCGAACAGG